GUCUACGGCCAUACCACCCUGAACACGCCUGAUCUCCUCUGAUCUCGGAAGCUAAGCAGGGUCGGGCCUGGUUAGUACUUGGAUGGGAGGAAAUGUCUACCUCUGUCUACU
Erinaceus europaeus (western European hedgehog) is the source of this 111-nucleotide ribosomal RNA. The record is from Ensembl. NCBI's taxonomy places the organism in Eukaryota, Metazoa, Chordata, Mammalia, Eulipotyphla, Erinaceidae.